AUGCUGUUUUGUAGUUUGAGCUGGUUUGGGGUGUUUUUUGUGGGUUUUUUUUUUUUUUUUUUGGUUUUUUUUUUUUUGCAUUUUCUUUGGCGUUACAUAGAAAAUCUGAGCCUUGGUUUCAACCCUCUGCAGGUGAUUGUAGGGUUCGAGAUGGCUGUUUUUUGGGUUUUUUUUGUUUUUUGUUUUGUUUUGUUCUUACAUUUCACUUGUCUUGUUGCAUGAUGGUUAAUAGCUGAUUUGGAAAUGACAUUUCUCUCCUAGAUUAAUUUUUGUGUUUGUAAGAUGUGCAUAUUGCUUUGCAGAAUAAAAACUAUGAAGUUUAUCC
This 325-nucleotide long non-coding RNA is filed under the name Zonotrichia albicollis (white-throated sparrow). Its description in RNAcentral is "lncRNA (ENSZALG00000005074.1)". The record is from RNAcentral. Lineage: Eukaryota; Metazoa; Chordata; Aves; Passeriformes; Passerellidae.